Molecule: long non-coding RNA, 642 nt
Organism: Passer domesticus (house sparrow)
Lineage: Eukaryota; Metazoa; Chordata; Aves; Passeriformes; Passeridae
Exons: 2
Source: RefSeq, a predicted model, not a curated record
CUUCUUGCUGUAACAUGGCAUGACCUCACACUGACAGCUCCUGAGAACAAAGCCCUGCUCUAACUGUGAGCUCAGUCUCCAGGGCUCCAUACCUGCAGAGUUCAGCUGGCCUCACUGAGGACUUACACCUUUCUGGGGGAACAAGGACAGGGGGAGAAGCUGCUGAGAGGCAGAGACAGAGAAUACCCUGAGCUGAAGUUGACAGCUGGCUGUGAGGAUGAAGACCCCCAGCACAGCGCUCCUCUCCUUCCCAAGAGUUCAAAUGGAUCUCAAAGCAGUGUCUCUGCUGUAGAGGCAAAUACUCUCUUGGCUUCACCAUUUACUUCCAGGAACAGAAAAAUCCUCAGGUGGAGGAACCAAUGUCUUUGCUGCAAGUGAAACCAUUCAAGCUUUCUGCAGGGAGCCAAACUGGAGUAUAAUGAUUACAUUGAAGAGUACCUCAGAGAAAGUGGAUGGAGUAAUGCAAGAGAAAUGAAGACUGAAAGCAGAAGCUGACAUUUCAUCUUGCAUUAUAGCCCAUGGGACAGAAGGCACAAAUACAGUAAAUUAUCUGUAAGAGUCUCUUUUUCCUAGAAUGAAUGACUUCAAAGGCUCCAGCAAUACAAUGAAAUAAAUGAAAGAUUCCCUCUUUCUGUCUUUAGA